GACGAACGCUGGCGGCGUGCUUAACACAUGCAAGUCGAACGGAAAGGCCCCUUUGGGGGUACUCGAGUGGCGAACGGGUGAGUAACACGUGAGUAACCUGCCCUUGACUUCGGGAUAACUUCAGGAAACUGGGGCUAAUACCGGAUAGGAAUCCUUGCUGCAUGGUGGGGGUUGGAAAGCUUCGGCGGUUUUGGAUGGACUCGCGGCUUAUCAGCUUGUUGGUGGGGUAGUGGCUUACCAAGGCUUUGACGGGUAGCCGGCCUGAGAGGGCGACCGGCCACAUUGGGACUGAGGGACGGCCCAGACACCGACGGGAGGCAGCAGUGGGGAAUAUUGCACGAGGGGCGGAAGCCGGAUGCAGCAACGCCGCGGGCGGGAUGACGGCCUUCGGGUUGUAAACCGCUUUCAGCAGGGGCGAAGCUUGUGGUGACGGUACCUGCAGAAGAAGCACCGGCUAACUACGUG
Molecule: ribosomal RNA, 465 nt
Filed under: uncultured bacterium
Lineage: Bacteria
Description: partial 16S ribosomal RNA
Rfam family: Bacterial small subunit ribosomal RNA
Source: RNAcentral